AGCUCAGUGGUAGAGCUCCCGCCUCUUAUGCGGGAAGAGCUGGGUUCAAUUCCCGA
Molecule: transfer RNA, 56 nt
Filed under: Toxocara canis (dog roundworm)
Lineage: Eukaryota; Metazoa; Nematoda; Chromadorea; Rhabditida; Toxocaridae
Rfam family: tRNA
About the family: Transfer RNA (tRNA) molecules are approximately 80 nucleotides in length. Their secondary structure includes four short double-helical elements and three loops (D, anti-codon, and T loops).
Source: Rfam by way of RNAcentral